GUGGGGAAUAUUGCACAAUGGGCGCAAGCCUGAUGCAGCAACGCCGCGUGCGGGAUGACGGCCUUCGGGUUGUAAACCGCUUUUAGUAAGGAAGAAGGGCAGUCUUCGGGCUGUUUGACGGUACUUGCAGAAAAAGGACCGGCUAACUACGUGCCAGCAGCCGCGGUAAUACGUAGGGUCCGAGCGUUGUCCGGAAUUAUUGGGCGUAAAGAGCUCGUAGGCGGUUUGUCGCGUCUGCUGUGAAAUCCCGAGGCUCAACCUCGGGUCUGCAGUGGGUACGGGCAGACUGGAGUGCGGUAGGGGAGAAUGGAAUUCCUGGUGUAGCGGUGGAAUGCGCAGAUAUCAGGAGGAACACCGAUGGCGAAGGCAGUUCUCUGGGCCGUAACUGACGCUGAGGAGCGAAAGCGUGGGGAGCGAACAGG
This 422-nucleotide ribosomal RNA is filed under the name uncultured bacterium. RNAcentral's name for it is "bacterial SSU rRNA". It matches the Rfam family "Bacterial small subunit ribosomal RNA", at positions 354 to 776 of the family's 1533-position model. The record is from RNAcentral.